CGAAGGGUGCAAGCGUUACUCGGAAUUACUGGGCGUAAAGCGUGCGUAGGUGGUGAGUUAAGUCUGUCGUGAAAGCCCCGGGCUCAACCUGGGAGUGGCGAUGGAUACUGGCUCGCUAGAGUGCGGUAGAGGAGAGUGGAAUUCCCGGUGUAGCAGUGAAAUGCGUAGAGAUCGGGAGGAACAUCAGUUGCGAAGGCGGCUCUCUGGACCAGCACUGACACUGAGGCACGAAAGCGUGGGGAGCAAACAGGAUUAGAUACCCUGGUAGUCCACGCCCUAAACGAUGCGAACUGGACGUUGGGAGCAAUCAGGCUCUCAGUGUCGAAGCUAACGCGUUAAGUUCGCCGCCUGGGGAGUACGGUCGCAAGACUG
This 372-nucleotide ribosomal RNA is filed under the name uncultured organism. RNAcentral's name for it is "bacterial SSU rRNA". It matches the Rfam family "Bacterial small subunit ribosomal RNA", at positions 526 to 896 of the family's 1533-position model. The record is from RNAcentral.